This 489-nucleotide long non-coding RNA is filed under the name Panax ginseng (ginseng). Its description in RNAcentral is "long non-coding RNA (PGIN_LNC001124)". The record is from RNAcentral. Lineage: Eukaryota; Viridiplantae; Streptophyta; Magnoliopsida; Apiales; Araliaceae.
CUUUCUCCCUCUCUCUCUCUAAAAUAUUUAUUAAUUAUUUAUUUUAUUUUUCUUUAAAACUCUUCUUCCUCCUCCGCCCCCAUCCACCAAACAACAACAACGGACCUCCGCCGUUACAAUCCCAACCCUCCACCGACCUUCAUCCUCACUAAUUUCAACUUCAAUUCAUUCAUCCGCCCACUCCUUCUCUUAAUUACCUAGAUCCAUCAGCUCUUCUCCCUUGCUCUCUACUCUCAAAUGUGAAUGCCAAUUUCCAGAUUUCAUUUCAUAGAUUCCGUACCAGGUCAGCUCUAUUCUGUUCUAUUUUAUGUACGUCUGUGCUCUCCUGUUUCUCACUUUUCGUCUCAAAAUCCUCUUCUUAACUCUCUCUCUCUCUUUUUUAAAUUUUAAUUUUAAAUUUUGGGAUUGAUUUGAUCUUUUUAUAUGUUGCCUCAGAUUUUUAUUUUGCUUCUAGGGUUUUGAUUUGGAUUUUGUUGCAUGGGGCUAAAG